RNAcentral lists this ribosomal RNA (496 nucleotides) under uncultured bacterium. RNAcentral describes it as "partial 16S ribosomal RNA". It matches the Rfam family "Bacterial small subunit ribosomal RNA", at positions 28 to 506 of the family's 1533-position model. The record is from RNAcentral.
GAUGAACGCUGGCGGCGUGCCUAAUACAUGCAAGUCGAGCGAACAGACGAGGAGCUUGCUCCUCUGACGUUAGCGGCGGACGGGUGAGUAACACGUGGAUAACCUACCUAUAAGACUGGGGUAACUUCGGGAAACCGGAGCUAAUACCGGAUAAUAUAUUGAACCGCAUGGUUCAAUAGUGAAAGACGGUUUUGCUGUCACUUAUAGAUGGAUCCGCGCCGCAUUAGCUAGUUGGUAAGGUAACGGCUUACCAAGGCAACGAUGCGUAGCCGACCUGAGAGGGUGAUCGGCCACACUGGAACUGAGACACGGUCCAGACUCCUACGGGAGGCAGCAGUAGGGAAUCUUCCGCAAUGGGCGAAAGCCUGACGGAGCAACGCCGCGUGAGUGAUGAAGGUCUUCGGAUCGUAAAACUCUGUUAUUAGGGAAGAACAAAUGUGUAAGUAACUAUGCACGUCUUGACGGUACCGAAUCAGAAAGCCACGGCUAACUACGU